AUUGAACGCUGGCGGCAUGCUUUACACAUGCAAGUCGAACGGCAGCGCGGGGCAACCUGGCGGCGAGUGGCGAACGGGUGAGUAAUAUAUCGGAACGUACCCAGAAGUGGGGGAUAACGUAGCGAAAGUUACGCUAAUACCGCAUACGAUCUACGGAUGAAAGUGGGGGACCUUCGGGCCUCAUGCUUGUGGAGCGGCCGAUAUCUGAUUAGCUAGUUGGUGAGGUAAAGGCUCACCAAGGCAACGAUCAGUAGCUGGUCUGAGAGGACGACCAGCCACACUGGGACUGAGACACGGCCCAGACUCCUACGGGAAGCAGCAGUGGGGAAUUUUGGACAAUGGGCGCAAGCCUGAUUCAGCAAUGCCGCGUGAGUGAAGAAGGCCUUCGGGUUGUAAAGCUCUUUUGUCAGGGAAGAAACGGCUCGGGCUAAUAUCCUGGGCUAAUGACGGUACCUGAAGAAUAAGCACCGGCUAACUACGUGCCAGCCGCCGCGGUAA
This 498-nucleotide ribosomal RNA is filed under the name uncultured bacterium. RNAcentral's name for it is "partial 16S ribosomal RNA". It matches the Rfam family "Bacterial small subunit ribosomal RNA", at positions 30 to 523 of the family's 1533-position model. The record is from RNAcentral.